Molecule: long non-coding RNA, 610 nt
Organism: Leptopilina boulardi
Lineage: Eukaryota; Metazoa; Arthropoda; Insecta; Hymenoptera; Figitidae
Exons: 3
Source: RefSeq, a predicted model, not a curated record
UUAUUAACCUAGAAUUUAUAAUAUUCAUUUGCUUCAUUUCUAUAUUAUAUGUUAAGAUCUUUUCAAGUAUAUAGAAAAAUUGUUUAUAAAAAUAUUUUAUUGCUGAGAGGAAAUUAAUAAACACAGAAAAAUAAUUUUUUGUAAAAAAAAGAAUAAUUAAAGUGGCAUAUAUUGAAGCACAAAUUUUUGAAGAUUACAUAUUCUCUCUCGCUAGUGGAAUCAUCAUAAUUGUAAUCUGCAGGUUAUUCUACGGUCUAAAAACGCGGAAAAACACGAGUUUUAAUCAUAUUAAGUCGAGUAGCUGUACUAUUAACACGCACCUUGUCAACUCUCUCAUGAAGAAAGCUGAGUUUUAAUGGAAUUAUAUGUGCUAACAAGACUAACAAGGUUUACAAGAACGGUUUACACUUUUCAAGCAAACAUGACUGGUCAAUAGAAAACUAAUUCUACUUACGGCUACUCUUCAAGAGAUUUCAAAUCUAAAAGUAAUGAGUUUCGAGAUUAUGUAUAUAUACAUAUAUAAUAUAAUGAAUUAAAAGCAGAAACUUUAGAAAAGUAAUAAUUCAACAAAAGUUGCCGUCCGUUCAAGAUUUGUGAUCACAAAAUACGA